This 826-nucleotide ribosomal RNA is filed under the name aquatic bacterium R1-G6. RNAcentral describes it as "bacterial SSU rRNA". It matches the Rfam family "Bacterial small subunit ribosomal RNA", at positions 8 to 828 of the family's 1533-position model. The record is from RNAcentral.
AGAGUUUGAUCAUGGCUCAGAUUGAACGCUGGCGGCAGGCUUAACACAUGCAAGUCGAGCGGAGUUGUGGUGCUUGCACCAUAACUUAGCGGCGGACGGGUGAGUAAUGCUUAGGAAUCUGCCUAUUAGUGGGGGACAACAUCUCGAAAGGGAUGCUAAUACCGCAUACGUCCUACGGGAGAAAGCAGGGGACCUUCGGGCCUUGCGCUAAUAGAUGAGCCUAAGUCGGAUUAGCUAGUUGGUGGGGUAAAGGCCUACCAAGGCGACGAUCUGUAGCGGGUCUGAGAGGAUGAUCCGCCACACUGGGACUGAGACACGGCCCAGACUCCUACGGGAGGCAGCAGUGGGGAAUAUUGGACAAUGGGGGGAACCCUGAUCCAGCCAUGCCGCGUGUGUGAAGAAGGCCUUUUGGUUGUAAAGCACUUUAAGCGAGGAGGAGGCUACUGGUAUUAAUACUACCGGAUAGUGGACGUUACUCGCAGAAUAAGCACCGGCUAACUCUGUGCCAGCAGCCGCGGUAAUACAGAGGGUGCGAGCGUUAAUCGGAUUUACUGGGCGUAAAGCGUGCGUAGGCGGCUUUUUAAGUCGGAUGUGAAAUCCCUGAGCUUAACUUAGGAAUUGCAUUCGAUACUGGGAGGCUAGAGUAUGGGAGAGGAUGGUAGAAUUCCAGGUGUAGCGGUGAAAUGCGUAGAGAUCUGGAGGAAUACCGAUGGCGAAGGCAGCCAUCUGGCCUAAUACUGACGCUGAGGUACGAAAGCAUGGGGAGCAAACAGGAUUAGAUACCCUGGUAGUCCAUGCCGUAAACGAUGUCUACUAGCCGUUGGGG